CUGGCUCAGGAUGAACGCUAGCGGCAGGCUUAACACAUGCAAGUCGAGGGGCAGCGGGAUGUAGCAAUACAUUGCCGGCGACCGGCGGAUGGGUGCGUAACGCGUAUGCAACCUACCUUAUACAGGGGAAUAACCUUUCGAAAGGGAGACUAACACCCCAUAGUAUUGAUUUAAGGCAUCUUAGAUUAAUUAAAUAUUUAUAGGUAUAAGAUGGGCAUGCGUAUGAUUAGCUAGUUGGUAAGGUAACGGCUUACCAAGGCGACGAUCAUUAGGGGUCUGAGAGGAAGGUCCCCCACACUGGUACUGAGACACGGACCAGACUCCUACGGGAGGCAGCAGUGAGGAAUAUUGGUCAAUGGGCGCAAGCCUGAACCAGCCAUGCCGCGUGCAGGAAGACGGCCUUAUGGGUUGUAAACUGCUUUUACAUAAGACUAACCGUAUAUUUGCGAAUAUACCUGAAUGUAUUAUGAGAAUAAGGAUCGGCUAACUCCGUGCCAGCCGCCGC
RNAcentral lists this ribosomal RNA (505 nucleotides) under uncultured bacterium. RNAcentral describes it as "bacterial SSU rRNA". It matches the Rfam family "Bacterial small subunit ribosomal RNA", at positions 19 to 518 of the family's 1533-position model. The record is from RNAcentral.